AAGUCAGCACACCAUAUUUCUUGCAUACAUACUUCAGGGUUUUGUAUACGGGUAGAAAGCUAAAAAAUAGUAAAAUUUAUUGCUCAUUACACAACUUGAUGUGCAGAAAUUCAUUUGCCUUCUUUGUAAAAAAAUAUUCAGCUUUAAUUGAAAUCACAGAGAAACGCAAUGGAAGGUUAUGGGCCAAGGAACCGCAUUGACCAGUUAAGAGACUGGCAAGUUUAUAUAUGGACCAGUUAUUUAUAAUGGUACAUCAUCUGGUACGUGUUACAUAAUGCGUUUGUGUUUUGAUUUCCCGUCUUGAGAAAUACCCUUUUUGUUCAUCUCACUAUUACAGGGAGCAACCAUGCAAGGUUGUGACCAAACAAUCCUGUAGAACAGUUGGGAGAAGAACUGGAAGGGCCCAUUUAUACAUACGAACUGUUCAUUAUCACAAAAGCCUGGAAUACACAUAGAUAUGGAGAUCACAGAUACGUAAUUCACCUCAUGUUAGGGGCAUCCGUUGGGUGCUACAAUUGGACCCGUGGCUAAUCAUUUGUCCGCGCUGGCUUUUGCUUAUGUUGGCGGGUUUCUUCAAAUUAUUGCAGACAUUAUAGCUUCCUUCUUCUUGCUGAAUUCCUUAUAAUCCAGUUCUACAGAUGGCAUUAUCUGCUUUACAUGAUCAGCAUGCAGUCCAUUUACAAUUGCUUAAUUAUGUUUCCAAGGAAAUACAUUGGAUGGAUGUGUGCCAAGCAACCACAUAGGUCAUUUCAGAGACUAAUUGAAGAAAAAUCCGAUCUUUCAUUUGAGAUGUUCAUCAUCUCUGAAGCAUGAAGAAAGAUCCAAGAAAUUUUAUGUAUCUCGAUAAUUUUGCAAUGUUGCGUACAAUGUGCAACAGUUUGGAGCUCUGGCAGCGCACAUUGGAGAUAAUGCUCUUCUCUCAGGCUCAAUAUAUACUCAUUAUCUACAGUGCAAUACAUGAGAAGAGUUUUUGUCAAUGGAACUAUUCCCAGCUAAAUAGGUCAAUGCACCUGUCCAGCAAAUAUAAUUAAUCUACAGCAAGUGAGUCCAGCUAAAGGUCAAACGAGCAAAAUCCCAGAUUGAUGAGCCAAAUUGUUCAUGUGGAAAAAUAUAUUUUGUGUCUAGGCGUGGCCACAAACCUGACGUAAAAUAUAGUAGUAGUCAUCUAUUUGCAGCUUUGGCCAGUAUGAAUGACCUUAUCAGGCUACUACAAGCACUCUGUAUGACUAUGACAAAUGCUAUUACUGAAGUACUAGCAGAUCCUCUCUAUUUCUAUAGAUGCAGUAGUACCAACUUUCUAUUAAGUAUCUUUUCUUUUUCGCCUCAGAAUCACCCCACGGGCGCGGCGUGUCGCCGCGCCAACCUU
This is a long non-coding RNA of Lolium perenne, 1366 nucleotides long. RefSeq lists it as uncharacterized. Lineage: Eukaryota; Viridiplantae; Streptophyta; Magnoliopsida; Poales; Poaceae. The record is from RefSeq and is a predicted model, not a curated record.